AAUAGUAGCCAUAUCACUCUGCCCAAGACUGGUUGCCCACUGAAGCUAAGCAGGGUUGAGCCUGGUCAGUACCUGGAUGGGAGACCUCCUGGGAAAACUAGGUUGCUGCUGGAA
Molecule: ribosomal RNA, 114 nt
Filed under: Sinocyclocheilus rhinocerous
Lineage: Eukaryota; Metazoa; Chordata; Actinopteri; Cypriniformes; Cyprinidae
Source: RNAcentral